GCAAGCAGGCAGGGUGCAGGUCAGUGGUGGGAGUGAACUACUCAGGAACCUAAGGCCAAAGCAUGUAAGAUCUUGAUCACCCACAGAUAUCACUAUCCAGCAAUCCUGAUUCCAAAGCAUCUCCACAGAACGGUCUUACUUGCUGGAGUGCUUUGCUGUUUCUGUGCUACUUUGCAAUGAAGAUUCAUUACAUUUUCUUAACAUUUCUCCUCUUUGGCCUGCUGUCCAACUUAGAGUCAGGAACAUAGGCGGUACUAGAAGACGAGGAGAAUUCUGGGAAAGGUAGGCAGAGAGAGACCGUGAAGAGACACCAUGUAGCAGACAAAGGAGUAAGAGGUCCGGACCCUUCUCUGCAGCAGCAGGACCUGGUGGGACAAGAAACCUCCAGCUAUAGAAAGCAAGUGAGAACGAGGAAGUGAAGAUGUUCAUGAAGUAAUUAGUAUCCUGGACUGUAAGAAUCAAAUGUUGUGUAAUUCGGAAAAUACGGAUGGACACUGCUCUGAUGUUCAGAAUGUGGGGCUGUGUAUCUUACACCUUAAUCAAACUCAUCAGCUAGAGACCCUAGAGCCAGGAAUUCAAGAUGAUCAACUCCUUUGAUGCAUUAAAUUAGAAAGCCUGGUUUUCUGUCCUUCAUUUUCU
Mesocricetus auratus (golden hamster) is the source of this 639-nucleotide long non-coding RNA. RefSeq lists it as uncharacterized. The record is from RefSeq and is a predicted model, not a curated record. The transcript has 4 exons. Lineage: Eukaryota; Metazoa; Chordata; Mammalia; Rodentia; Cricetidae.